GUGGGGAAUAUUGGACAAUGGGCGAAAGCCUGAUCCAGCCAUGCCGCGUGUGUGAAGAAGGUCUUCGGAUUGUAAAGCACUUUAAGUUGGGAGGAAGGGCAGUAAGUUAAUACCUUGCUGUUUUGACGUUACCGACAGAAUAAGCACCGGCUAACUUCGUGCCAGCAGCCGCGGUAAUACGAAGGGUGCAAGCGUUAAUCGGAAUUACUGGGCGUAAAGCGCGCGUAGGUGGUUUUGUAAGUUGGAGGUGAAAUCCCCGGGCUCAACCUGGGAACUGCCUCCAAAACUGCAUGACUAGAGUACGGUAGAGGGUAGUGGAAUUUCCUGUGUAGCGGUGAAAUGCGUAGAUAUAGGAAGGAACACCAGUGGCGAGGGCGACUACCUGGACUGAUACUGACACUGAGGUGCGAAAGCGUGGGGAGCAAACAGGAUUAGAUACCCCAGUAGUCC
Molecule: ribosomal RNA, 450 nt
Filed under: uncultured bacterium
Lineage: Bacteria
Description: partial 16S ribosomal RNA
Rfam family: Bacterial small subunit ribosomal RNA
Source: RNAcentral